GUGCCAGCAGCCGCGGUAAUACGUAGGUGGCAAGCGUUGUCCGGAUUUAUUGGGCGUAAAGCGAGCGCAGGCGGUUUCUUAAGUCUGAUGUGAAAGCCCCCGGCUCAACCGGGGAGGGUCAUUGGAAACUGGGAGACUUGAGUGCAGAAGAGGAGAGUGGAAUUCCAUGUGUAGCGGUGAAAUGCGUAGAUAUAUGGAGGAACACCAGUGGCGAAGGCGGCUCUCUGGUCUGUAACUGACGCUGAGGCUCGAAAGCGUGGGGAGCGAACAGGAUUAGAUACCCUGGUAGUUC
RNAcentral lists this ribosomal RNA (292 nucleotides) under uncultured microorganism. RNAcentral describes it as "partial 16S ribosomal RNA". It matches the Rfam family "Bacterial small subunit ribosomal RNA", at positions 505 to 796 of the family's 1533-position model. The record is from RNAcentral.